This 496-nucleotide ribosomal RNA is filed under the name uncultured bacterium. RNAcentral describes it as "partial 16S ribosomal RNA". It matches the Rfam family "Bacterial small subunit ribosomal RNA", at positions 28 to 507 of the family's 1533-position model. The record is from RNAcentral.
GAUGAACGCUGGCGGCGUGCCUAAUACAUGCCAGUCGAGCGAACGGACGAGAAGCUUGCUUCUCUGAUGUUAGCGGCGGACGGGUGAGUACACGUGGAUAACCUACCUAUAAGACUGGGAUAACUUCGGGAAACCGGAGCUAAUACCGGAUAAUAUUUUGAACCGCAUGGUUCAAAAGUGAAAGACGGUCUUGCUGCCACUUAUAGAUGGAUCCGCGCUGCAUUAGCUAGUUGGUAAGGUAACGGCUUACCAAGGCAACGAUGCAUAGCCGACCUGAGAGGGUGAUCGGCCACACUGGAACUGAGACACGGUCCAGACUCCUACGGGAGGCAGCAGUAGGGAAUCUUCCGCAAUGGGCGAAAGCCUGACGGAGCAACGCCGCGUGAGUGAUGAAGGUCUUCGGAUCGUAAAACUCUGUUAUUAGGGAAGAACAUAUGUGUAAGUAACUGUGCACAUCUUGACGGUACCUAAUCAGAAAGCCACGGCUAACUACGUG